Cottoperca gobio is the source of this 1109-nucleotide long non-coding RNA. RefSeq lists it as uncharacterized. The transcript has 6 exons. The record is from RefSeq and is a predicted model, not a curated record. Lineage: Eukaryota; Metazoa; Chordata; Actinopteri; Perciformes; Bovichtidae.
AACGCUUGCUACAUGAUAAUGAGAACAGAAACACUUGAUGUGGUAAGAAAAAGAGAGCAACACUGUUCAGUUCAGUUGUGUUCACCACUAUAGGGAAGGAGAAGGACUCUUCUUUGUCUGUGAAAUGUUCUUAGAUGGUUUAAUGUCUCUAAAAGAUGUCUAAUCUCUAAUCCAACCAACCAAAAAUGGAUCAUCAGGUUUUUUUCACUCAACUGAGAUGUUGGACCAAAGUGUACUAACGUGAAGAGAUGAAAAGGCAGUAGCCCACAUUCUGGACUCAAGACACAGAAGAGUCUCAAGAAAAGAGAUUCCCGUCCAGUGUGUGGACAAUCCUUGUGGUUCUAAUGCUACGAUCGUCUAUGAUGACGUUACACACCUUUAUUCUCAACAUGACACCAUAGAUUGGACUGCUUCUGAAGAAGGACACGGCCCUCACAGUUCUGUGCAACCUUUCCAAUCUGCCCGUUAUCAGAAUGAGGACCCUGCCGCUCAGGAUCCUGAAGAGACGGACAGUACUUCAUCAUCCAGAUUCCCAUCCAGUGUUUGGACAAUCCUGAUUCUAAUCCUGUGCUACCAUUUCAUACCCAUUCUGAGAAUGCUACUCAGUUAUUCACCAUCCAGUCUUCAGGAGGAGGAAAAGGAGGAGGAUGACUAGAGGCCUCUACAGCCAUCAUCCAUGUCAAAUUAAGACUUCAGGAAGUUAAUGGUCACGGGCCAAGAGUCAGACACAAAACUGUAUUUUGUAAUGAGAAUUAGCAUUUUUACAAUUUGGUGUUUGUUAAACAAAACACAUAAUAUGUGAGCUUCAGAGGUGCUGGUAGCAUUUGUCUUGUUGUUUCCCUGUUUCCAUGUUACUGUAUGUUAAACUAAGAAUCUGAUAGCUAUGCAUUUAAGUUCACACGAUAGUGGCAUUAUUUAUUCUAAAGUGAAUAAGCAAAUUCCUAAAACUUUCCAAACUAUUUCUUUAAGCUUUAUUCUGAACUACACUAAAAGGUCAACAACAAUUGUUGUUGUCUUGCAUAAUGUUAGAAAAAUCCAACAUAGACACUAUGUACACCAAUAAAAAGUUGUGAAAAUGCUUCAAGCUCAAUAAAAAAUGGUGUUUGUCA